UUAAAGGGGUCAACUGACCUUUUUGGUCAUGUUGACUUAUUUGUGGAUCUUACUUUGCUGAACAUUAUUGCUGUUUACAGUUUAUCACUAUCUAUAAUAAUAUUCAAGAUAAUAACCAAAAACUGCAAAAAUUUCCUUCAAAAUUUCCAAUUCAGGGGCAGCAACCCAACAAACAGUUGUCGGAUUCAUCUGAAAAUUUCAGGGCAGAUAGAUCUUGACUUGCAAAACAAUAUAUCCCCCUGUCUGAAUUGCUCUUAAUGCUUUGGUUUCAGAGUUAUAAGCCAAAAUCUACAUUUUAACCCUAUGUUCUAUUCUUAGCCAUGGCGGCUAUCUUGGUUGGUUGGCUGGGUCACUACACACAUUUUUUAAACUAGAUACCUCAAUGAUGAUUAAGGCCAAGUAUGGUUAAAUUUGGAACAG
Molecule: long non-coding RNA, 420 nt
Filed under: Mytilus galloprovincialis (Mediterranean mussel)
Lineage: Eukaryota; Metazoa; Mollusca; Bivalvia; Mytilida; Mytilidae
Source: RNAcentral